Molecule: long non-coding RNA, 611 nt
Organism: Coregonus clupeaformis (lake whitefish)
Lineage: Eukaryota; Metazoa; Chordata; Actinopteri; Salmoniformes; Salmonidae
Exons: 3
Source: RefSeq, a predicted model, not a curated record
ACUUUAUGUAGGCCUACACUACUAUUGGUCUAAGUUAUCAUGGUAUUGUAGUUAAUAUUAUAAGUUGAUAUAAUAUGACAAUAAAAAACAAUUCAGGCAACUAUAUCAGUAUGUUGGAGAAACAAUUUUGUGUUCUCAGAAAGAUGGCUUUAAGGAGUUCUUCAAGUCUUCAACUGUCAGCGGGGAAAACCAGAUCUACUGUGAUGAAUGUGAAAAGAAAGCAGAUGCAACCAUUGAAUGCAAGAUAGAACAUCACCCAGAAAAUCUUACUCUGCUCCUCAAGCGGUUUGAAUUUGACUACUACAGCAUGUCAUAUGUCAAAAUCAACUGUUGCGUGGAUGUGCCUCACACACUACAGACAGAGAAAUGUGAAUAUGAACUUUAUGCGAUUGUGGACCAUUUCGGAAGUCUUAGAGGUGGACACUACACUGCUAAGAUAAAGUCAUUUGACGAUGAUAACUGGUAUGAGUUCAAUGACUCCUACGUCAGAAAGGUAUGCAAGAUUAUUAUUUUUUUGAAUUGAAUAUCAUCAUUAUUCUAAUAUCAUAAAUUGUAUUUGCCAUUUUAUUUGGGUCUGUGAGUAGACUAGUGGCAACCCGUCAUUCAGGGCA